This 527-nucleotide ribosomal RNA is filed under the name Fusarium fujikuroi. Its description in RNAcentral is "eukaryotic LSU rRNA". The stretch from base 169 to 322 matches the Rfam family "5.8S ribosomal RNA". Lineage: Eukaryota; Fungi; Ascomycota; Sordariomycetes; Hypocreales; Nectriaceae. The record is from RNAcentral.
GACCUGCGGAGGGAUCAUUACCGAGUUUACAACUCCCAAACCCCUGUGAACAUACCAAUUGUUGCCUCGGCGGAUCAGCCCGCUCCCGGUAAAACGGGACGGCCCGCCAGAGGACCCCUAAACUCUGUUUCUAUAUGUAACUUCUGAGUAAAACCAUAAAUAAAUCAAAACUUUCAACAACGGAUCUCUUGGUUCUGGCAUCGAUGAAGAACGCAGCAAAAUGCGAUAAGUAAUGUGAAUUGCAGAAUUCAGUGAAUCAUCGAAUCUUUGAACGCACAUUGCGCCCGCCAGUAUUCUGGCGGGCAUGCCUGUUCGAGCGUCAUUUCAACCCUCAAGCCCAGCUUGGUGUUGGGACUCGCGAGUCAAAUCGCGUUCCCCAAAUUGAUUGGCGGUCACGUCGAGCUUCCAUAGCGUAGUAGUAAAACCCUCGUUACUGGUAAUCGUCGCGGCCACGCCGUUAAACCCCAACUUCUGAAUGUUGACCUCGGAUCAGGUAGGAAUACCCGCUGAACUUAAGCAUAUCAAAA